RNAcentral lists this long non-coding RNA (787 nucleotides) under Homo sapiens (human). RNAcentral's name for it is "non-protein coding lnc-LRP1B-12:1". The record is from RNAcentral. Lineage: Eukaryota; Metazoa; Chordata; Mammalia; Primates; Hominidae.
AUCAUGAAAUGCAGAUCCUUUUAUUGAUGAUUUCUUCGGUGGACACAAUUAUUAGAUCUUAAAAAUCUGGUCAUUUCAAUUGAGAAAAUAGAGGCAACUACUCUUUGUAAAUAAAGAGGCACCCAGGCCUGACUUGGAGGACCCAAUGAUACAAGAAACUUUGAAGAGCAGUCUCUCAACAGGGCAUCAUGACAGCAGCAAACUGAACCCUGCUUUUUUCAGCCUAUAGCUAUACUGCCUUUCAUGAUGCCCAUGGUAUUUCUGUAGAUGAUGCCAGCAAAAGGGAGAAAGUCCACGGUUUUACCCCAGGUUUCUUAUAAACUUACAUAUAAUUAUAGCACACAGCAUUAUCAGCAGAAAUGCAAACUGUAAUCAUUGCCAAAGAGUAUAUUACUAGGGGAAGGAGUAAUUGCUUCUUCAAUCUUCUUUGGAAUAAUCCCUCAUUUGGGCCCAAAUGAAGUAUGCCCAGGAUAAUCUUUAGAUGAAAAAAAACCUGACCUAUCAUCUUUCUCAACCAAGUCAAUGGAAUGAAUGUUUUUGCAUUCCAAAGUUUUGGGCCCAUUCAAGGGAUCAAGGUAAUGAGCAAGAAAGGCAAUGUCAUGGACCAUCUCAGAAGAGCUGGGAAAAAGGCUUUUAAAGAAACAGCAAUAUCCAGGGAAGCGCUGUUUGGGACAUUAGCUUUUAUUCCGAUGUCUUCAACUAUUUUUUAAAAAGACACAGUACAGUAAGCUUGAAGAGGAAAUCCCAUCUGCAAUAGAAAAAAUGGAAUGCUUCUAUGACACAGGUG